Molecule: ribosomal RNA, 428 nt
Filed under: Trichoderma sp. FL-2010j
Lineage: Eukaryota; Fungi; Ascomycota; Sordariomycetes; Hypocreales; Hypocreaceae
Description: eukaryotic LSU rRNA
Rfam family: 5.8S ribosomal RNA (bases 47-200)
Source: RNAcentral
CUGAGCCUUCUCGGCGCCUCUCGUAGGCGUUUCGAAAAUGAAUCAAAACUUUCAACAACGGAUCUCUUGGUUCUGGCAUCGAUGAAGAACGCAGCGAAAUGCGAUAAGUAAUGUGAAUUGCAGAAUUCAGUGAAUCAUCGAAUCUUUGAACGCACAUUGCGCCCGCCAGUAUUCUGGCGGGCAUGCCUGUCCGAGCGUCAUUUCAACCCUCGAACCCCUCCGGGGGGUCGGCGUUGGGGAUCGGCCCUGCCUCUUGGCGGCGGCCGUCUCCGAAAUACAGUGGCGGUCUCGCCGCAGCCUCUCCUGCGCAGUAGUUUGCACACUCGCAUCGGGAGCGCGGCGCGUCCACAGCCGUUAAACACCCAACUUCUGAAAUGUUGACCUCGGAUCAGGUAGGAAUACCCGCUGAACUUAAGCAUAUCAAUAAG